CCUACGUGAGGCAGCAGUGAGGAAUAUUGGUCAAUGGGCUUACGCCUGAACCAGCCAAGUCGCGUGAGGGAAGACUGCCCUAUGGGUUGUAAACCUCUUUUGUCAGGGAGCAACGCCGGCUACGUGUAGCCGGACUGAGAGUACCUGAAGAAAAAGCAUCGGCUAACUCCGUGCCAGCAGCCGCGGUAAUCCGGGGGAUGCGAGCGUUAUCCGGAUUUAUUGGGUUUAAAGGGUGCGUAGGCGGAAUGCCAAGUCAGCGGUAAAAUCGCGGGGCUCAACCUCGCUCCGCCGUUGAAACUGGCGUUCUUGAGUGGGCGAGAAGUAUGCGGAAUGCGUGGUGUAGCGGUGAAAUGCAUAGAUAUCACGCAGAACUCCGAUUGCGAAGGCAGCAUACCGGCGCCCAACUGACGCUGAAGCACGAAAGCGUGGGUAUCGAACAGGAUUAGAUACCCCAGUAGUC
Molecule: ribosomal RNA, 460 nt
Filed under: uncultured bacterium
Lineage: Bacteria
Description: partial 16S ribosomal RNA
Rfam family: Bacterial small subunit ribosomal RNA
Source: RNAcentral